RNAcentral lists this long non-coding RNA (442 nucleotides) under Monodelphis domestica (gray short-tailed opossum). RNAcentral describes it as "lncRNA (ENSMODG00000049131.1)". The record is from RNAcentral. Lineage: Eukaryota; Metazoa; Chordata; Mammalia; Didelphimorphia; Didelphidae.
CAAAAGAGCGAGUUAGUGACCAAUAGAGACGUCAGGGAGAGUCUGAGCUCAACAAACACCAGGACGAGUAUUUCUUCCGCCCAGGGGGGUGGGGGUGAGGCCGAAGGCUGGGACUCCAAGCCCAGGCAGCGCCCCGCCCCCCCCCCCAAAGCAUCACCAUCUCGAUCAUCCCAACCAUUCCCAGCCCGGGGAAGAGGGUCCUGCGCCCCAGACCUCCCUCAGUCCCAUCACCAUUCACCCAGCCAUUGAUGCUUGAAACUUAGGGCUGAAUGGAUGAAAAUAUGUGCCAAGAACUGUGCUCCCUGUGACACCUCAGCAGCCUCAGCUGGUAUUGUUUUGCUGUCCAUUUCUCCCUAUAAUUUGAUUAACUUUUUCUUUAAGUGUUGAGAGACUUUAACAUAUAGUGUACCUAUUUAAGACAUGUUAUUUCUUUAUUUUUGAU